Long non-coding RNA from Perognathus longimembris pacificus (Pacific pocket mouse), 530 nucleotides. RefSeq lists it as uncharacterized. NCBI's taxonomy places the organism in Eukaryota, Metazoa, Chordata, Mammalia, Rodentia, Heteromyidae. The record is from RefSeq and is a predicted model, not a curated record. The transcript has 3 exons.
CAUUCUCAAACUUCUGCAACUGUUAACAGUACAGCUAUAAUAAGGUACUACAUACCUGCCUAGCCCACCUACUAGUGUGGUCAAAGACCAUCUCCCACAGGGUUACCAAUAAACUUUUUAAUAGAGAGAGUAGAUAACAAAUAGGACUUUGAAGUCAGACAGAGCAGAGUCCUUUUUUUUUUUUUGUCUUUUCUUUUUUGUACUGGGGAUCCAACCAAAGAUGUUGCACAAAUGCUUUGCCACUGAACUACAUCCCAACCCCAGAGACUCCUUCUAGUACAGUUACUUACAUGUUUUUUUUUUUUUUCUCUUCUGUAAAAUGUAGCUAACAUCCAAUACAUUUCAGAGUAAUUCUAAAGAUUAAAAGAAAAUAUGUAAUGCUUGGCACACAGUAGGCAAACAAAGGAAUUUAUUAUUCCCUAUUUAUUAUUUUAAAACAAUCACCUAAAGCUUAUUAGAAAGCAAAAGUAUCCUUUAAAGCUGAUCUAAGUGGAAUAUUGGGAGAUUAUAUAUAUGUGUGUGUGUGUGUG